GUGGCGGCUAGCUCAACAGUAGAGCACCAACUUUGCCCUUACGGGCCGCAGAUUUAGGGUUAUCGCUUGAAAAUCGACACCCCCUUAAUCGCCGGAGAUGCGGGUGCAACCCCCGCGCCGCUACACCA
RNAcentral lists this transfer RNA (128 nucleotides) under Trichocoleus sp. FACHB-262. RNAcentral's name for it is "tRNA-OTHER". The record is from RNAcentral. Lineage: Bacteria; Bacillati; Cyanobacteriota; Cyanophyceae; Leptolyngbyales; Trichocoleusaceae. RNAcentral also lists the same sequence under 3 other names.